RNAcentral lists this ribosomal RNA (447 nucleotides) under uncultured bacterium. Its description in RNAcentral is "partial 16S ribosomal RNA". It matches the Rfam family "Bacterial small subunit ribosomal RNA", at positions 29 to 523 of the family's 1533-position model. The record is from RNAcentral.
AACGAACGCUGGCGGCAGGCCUAACACAUGCAAGUCGAGCGCCCAGCAAUGGGAGCGGCGGACGGGUGAGUAACGCGUGGGAAUUUUCCUCAAGGUACGGAACAACUCAGGGAAACUUGGGCUAAUACCGUAUGAUGUCUAGCGACCAAAGAUUUAUCGCCUUGGGAUGAGCCCGCGUCAGAUUAGGUAGUUGGUGGGGUAACGGCCUACCAAGCCUGCGAUCUGUAGCUGGUCUGAGAGGACGAUCAGCCACAUUGGGACUGAGACACGGCCCAAACUCCUACGGGAGGCAGCAGUGGGGAAUCUUGCGCAAUGGGCGAAAGCCUGACGCAGCCAUGCCGCGUGAAUGGUGAAGGUCUUAGGAUUGUAAAGUUCUUUCGCUCGUGACGAUGAUGACGGUAACGAGAGAAGAAGCCCCGGCUAACUUCGUGCCAGCCGCCGCUGUAA